GAUGGACGCUGGCGGCGUGCCUAAUACAUGCAAGUCGAGCGAACAGACGAGGAGCUUGCUCCUCUGACGUUAGCGGCGGACGGGUGAGUAACACGUGGAUAACCUACCUAUAUGACUGGGAUAACUUCGGGAAACCGGAGCUAAUACCGGAUAAUAUAUUUAACCGCAUGGUUCAAUAGUGAAAGACGGUUUUGCUGUCACUUAUAGAUGUAUCCGCGCCGCAUUAGCUAGUUGGUAAGGUAACGGCUUACCAAGGCAACGAUGCGUAGCCGACCUGAGAGGGUGAUCGGCCACACUGGAACUGAGACACGGUCCAGACUCCUACGGGAGGCAGCAGUAGGGAAUCUUCCGCAAUGGGCGAAAGCCUGACGGAGCAACGCCGCGUGAGUGAUGAAGGUCUUCGGAUCGUAAAACCCUGUUAUUAGGGAAGAACAAAUGUGUAAGUAACUAUGCACGUCUUGACGGUACCUAAUCAGAAAGCCACGGCUAACUACGUG
This 497-nucleotide ribosomal RNA is filed under the name uncultured bacterium. Its description in RNAcentral is "partial 16S ribosomal RNA". It matches the Rfam family "Bacterial small subunit ribosomal RNA", at positions 28 to 507 of the family's 1533-position model. The record is from RNAcentral.